RNAcentral lists this transfer RNA (71 nucleotides) under Loxodonta africana (African savanna elephant). It matches the Rfam family "tRNA". From Rfam's summary of the family: Transfer RNA (tRNA) molecules are approximately 80 nucleotides in length. Their secondary structure includes four short double-helical elements and three loops (D, anti-codon, and T loops). Lineage: Eukaryota; Metazoa; Chordata; Mammalia; Proboscidea; Elephantidae. The record is from Rfam by way of RNAcentral.
GCAGUGGUGGUUCAGUGGUAGAAUUUUUGCCUUCCAUGCAGGAAACCCAGGUUUGAUCCCUGGCCAAUGCA